This 1410-nucleotide ribosomal RNA is filed under the name uncultured Bordetella sp. Its description in RNAcentral is "partial 16S-23S ribosomal RNA intergenic spacer". It matches the Rfam family "Bacterial small subunit ribosomal RNA". The record is from RNAcentral. Lineage: Bacteria; Pseudomonadati; Pseudomonadota; Betaproteobacteria; Burkholderiales; Alcaligenaceae.
AGUUUGAUUAUAAACCAGUUGGAACGCUGGCGGGAUGCUACGCUGCAGUCGAACGGCAGCGCGGACUUCGGUCUGGUGGCGUGUGGCGAACGGGUGGUAAUCGGAACGUGCCUAGUAGCGGGGGAUAACUACGCAGCGUAGCUAUUACCCACAUACACCCUUCGAAGGAAAGCGGGGCGUGCCGGGCCUCACGCUAUUAAACGACCGAUAUCAGUUAAUGAAUUUGAACAGGUGGCAGCUCCACUGGAAGCCGACGAUCCGUAGCUGGUUUGAGAGGACGACCAGGACGAGACUGGCCCAGACUCUACGGGGAGGCAGCAGUGGGGAAUUUUGGACAAUCGAAGCCUGGUCCAGCCAUCCAUGCGAUAGUGUCAGGUUCAACCUUUUAGCGGAAAAAGAAACGGCGGGAUGUGCAGUACGGCAGUACCUGCAGAAUAGCGCAAUAACUACAUUGCCAGCGGCCGCGGUAAUACGGCUGGUGCAGCGUUAAUCGGAAUUACUGGGCGUAAAGCGUGCGCGAGCGGUUCGAAGAAGAUUGGCGAAAUCCCGACGCUUUGGAACUGCAUUUUACCGAGCUAGAGUGUGUCAGAGGGAGGUGGAAUUCCGCGUGUGACAGUGAAAUGCGUAGAUAUGCGGAGGAACACCGAUGGCGAAGAGCAGCCUCCUGGGAUAACACUGGCGCUCAUGCACACAUGAAAAGCGUGGGAGCAAACAGGAUUAGAUACCCUGGUGAAAGUCCACGCCCUAAACGAUGUCAACUAGCUGUUGGGGCCUUCGGGCUGGUAGCGCAGCUAACGCGUGAAGUUGACCGCCUGGGAGUACGGUCGCAAGAUUAAAACUCAAAGCGGGGACCCGCACAAGCGGUGGAUGAUGUGGUUCAAAUUCGAUGCAACGCGAAAACUACCUACCCGCUUGACAUGUCUGGAAUCCCGAAGAGAUUGGGAGUGCUCGCGAGAACCGGAACUGGAGUGCUAUGGCUGUCGUCAGCUCGUGUCGUGAGAUGUUGGGUUAAGUCCCGCAACGAGCGCAACCGUAUCAUUAGUUGCUGCGGGCGCUCUAAUGAGACUGCCGGUGACAAACGGAGGAAGGUGGGGAUGACGUCAGGAAUCCUCACUUGGCCCUUAUGGGUAGGGCUUCACACGUCAUACAAUGGUCGGGACGGAAGAUCGCCAACCCGCGAAGAACCAAUCCCGAAGAACUGAUCGUCCGGAUGUGAUGUACAACUCGACUGCGUGAAGUCCGGAAAUCGCUAGUAAUCGCGGAUCAAUGUCGCGGUGAAUACGUUCCCGGGUCUUGUACACACCGCCCGUCACACCAUGGGAGUGGGUUUUACCGAAGUAGUUAGCUAACCAUAGUAAGGAGGCAGUUACCACGGUAGGAUUCAUGACUGGGGUGAAGUCGUAACAAAUG